AUUCAAGGGGUGCCUACCAAUUGUGGGCUGAGAUGAUACCCUCUAACCUGAUGCGGACAAUACCGACGUAGGGAUGGACA
RNAcentral lists this non-coding RNA (80 nucleotides) under uncultured Prevotella sp. Lineage: Bacteria; Pseudomonadati; Bacteroidota; Bacteroidia; Bacteroidales; Prevotellaceae. The record is from RNAcentral.